Molecule: long non-coding RNA, 529 nt
Filed under: Ananas comosus (pineapple)
Lineage: Eukaryota; Viridiplantae; Streptophyta; Magnoliopsida; Poales; Bromeliaceae
Description: long non-coding RNA (ACOM_LNC041113)
Source: RNAcentral
CAUUAUCAAAAUUUAUAAAUUUUCACUCUUAACUCUAUUUUCCCUUUACCCUAAAAUUUCAUUUAUUGAAAUAAGUUUUGACACUGCCAGAACAGUUACAUUUUAUCUAAAAACGCCCCUAAGCAAUAUUAAUUUACUGAAAUUAUUUUUCAGAAAUCUAAUUAAACUUUUUAAGGUAAAAUUUUAUAAAAUUUACCUGAACUAUGAAUUGUUUUGAAUUGAUUAUUCGAACUCUCAAAAUUUUAAUUUUAAUAUCUAACCUUUCAAUUUGUUUGAUUUGAACUAAUCAGUGACAUUUUUACUUCAAAACAUAAACUAAUUGCUUACUCCCGUAAAAAAAAAUUGACUGAUCACUCAAAUCAAACAAAUUAAAAAAUUGGAUUGUAAAAUCAAAAUAUUUGAAAGAUCAGAUAGUCAAAUCAAGAUAAACCAUAAUUGAGGUGAGUUUUAUAAGUUUUUAAUUACCAACUUUUAAUCACCACCAAUUAGAACCAUGAAGCAAAACUAAGGGGGAAAAGCCCCCAAAAAA